AGCCUAAGGUUGGAAUCGAACCAACGUUAACGGAUUAACAGUCCGUCGUACUACCACUGUACUACUAAGGC
Molecule: transfer RNA, 71 nt
Filed under: Indivirus ILV1
Lineage: Varidnaviria; Bamfordvirae; Nucleocytoviricota; Megaviricetes; Imitervirales; Mimiviridae
Description: tRNA-Asn
Source: RNAcentral